This is a long non-coding RNA of Rhipicephalus sanguineus (brown dog tick), 3977 nucleotides long. RefSeq lists it as uncharacterized. The record is from RefSeq and is a predicted model, not a curated record. NCBI's taxonomy places the organism in Eukaryota, Metazoa, Arthropoda, Arachnida, Ixodida, Ixodidae. The transcript is spliced from 2 exons.
CAACAGGGAUUGGGAAUCUUCGUUUGCCACGUCUUCAUGAGCAAGAAAACGAGAGAAGCGAUAUUCAGGAGCGUCGUAAACACGGGAAGCAUCCUGAAAGGAUCGAUGUCGUCGCGGCCCUCAGGUUCCGGAACCUCGUCAACAAAAACCACCUGGUACCCAAUCUCCUUAUCAUCGAACUCUACCUCCCACUCCUCGUCCUCUUCCAACGGCAUCCCAUCACACGAUGCUGAACAACCCUCGCAGUCGUUCGACACUGAAGCUCCGUCGUGGGCGCCCCUCCAGUGGUUGCCCGGAACCCGCUUCAGGUACAACCUGCGGCUGAAUCGGGAUGACACCGGUCCGCUGCGCAGCACAGCCCGGCGCGGCAGCGGGGACCAAGAGGGCCAGCCCACAGUUGUCAAGUUCCGAUGGGCCAGAAGCAUCACGUCGUGACGGACACCAUGCGAAGCUCACGUGCACGCGGGGAAGCCGUUCCUGUCGCGUUGAUCGGCAACGUUAAUUACUGGCAUGCUUUACGUGGCACGCAAUGCUUGCACGCGAGGCUUUGCGCGAAUCUCGCAUGACGAUCAUGAAUCUGUGUCGUUCGCGACAAAGAAUUGCUUAACUGCGAAUGUGGAGACAGCUACACCGAUAACAAGAGCACUAAUUUUAUGUUGUGGAAAACACCGGUUAAUAGUUUUGAAUGAUGUACAAAGGGGUGCAGCUCUGUUCUCUCACAAUGUUUGUUAAUUUUAAGUUCCGCAACAAGCCGUCCUUAGUUAACGUGUUUUUCCAGUUUGAUGCACGUAGGCUGGUGCUAAAGAGCUAAAAACGGGGGUUAAAUUACAGCGAACACUAACCAUCACUGUGCGCUACAAACAAUGGGCCUCAUUCACAAAGCUUUUUUUUUUCUCUUUUGUCGGCAACUGCUGUUCUUAGUUGGCCCAGCGCUUUCGCUAACCAUAUGUACAACAUCGUUACUGACUGGCAUCGGUUUUUAAGAACCGAAUGCUGUAACAACUUUUUCGUGCGUACGAGCCCAGUUAGGCAGACUUAACCGUACUUAUUAAAAUCUCCAAAACAUCCCUUUAUUUUGCGUGGAAUUGAAUGGUUCGCCAGAAAACUUUCAGAAUCUGGACUUUUUUGUUCGAAGGAAAUACAACAGCGAACUUAUUUUAUACGAUGAGCUAACGGGAUGAUGCCCUCAGCCCAGGCGUGAUGCGAGAUUCGCGCGAAACUCGAGCUAACAUUUCUUCAACGCUCGGUUGAUGCUGUGCGAAGAUUGUGUCAGCUAGCGUCUACUCAGCCAACAUCGUACAUACUAUAACGAAGGUCAUGCGGACUGCUGAUUCCGCUUCAUUGAUAGUGCCCGUACAAGAUAUGAUCAUAUUUCGCGUGUGAAAGUGCGCAAUAAGCAUAUUCCGUUCUUGGCAGAGUGACGGACGGCAGGGAAGUGGGUCUAAUUAUUUCUUGGUAUAUAUCAUGCAAAAAAGUAGACACUGAGAACAAAGUGCACAAUUAAAGAAAGUGGGACACCUUCGAUAUUUUAUUCUUUCAGAACGCAAAGCGGUGUAGAGGGGAACCAGAUUGAUGUGCUUUUUUUUAGACACCGCCAUUUGAAGCCACCAUAUCGUCGGCUUCCCGAGGCCGGGAUGAAUCUAAGACAGAGGUGUUUAAGUUUUCCGAUAAAGCUGGGAAAGUUUCCUCUGAAAAACUAGUUUACAAUAGCACAAUUGCGUUUCACAUUUCUCGCCUGAUCACACAGUUACUUCGGCCCCUUGUAAAACUGUUUCCGUUUUGCCUAUACGUUUUCGCCUUAGUUUGACAUUCCUCAUGCUACAUUAUUAUUUUUAGUCUGCAUGAAUAUAUAAGUUUCAUAGCGAAACGUGCGUGUGAGGGAAGUUAGUUAUAGCUCAUGCGAAAUCUUUAUAAUUUGUAUCAUUACAUAUUUUAACGAAGGCUUCCGGAGUACGUACAUUUUUAGAACAGGGUUUCAAAUUUUUUUUUCUUCAUACCCGAGUGGCCGUCAAGACUAUAUAACAUUGUUGUAACACAGUCGCAGGCACGUGCGGGCUUGUAAAAUGAUUGGGUUUAUUUUGAACAUUCCAAGCCAAGCAAAACACAUCCAUCCUUCAGUUAUAUGUGUCGUGUUGGCUGAGAAUAUGCUGUGCGCUUUCGUGUCACCUAUACUGAACAAAGCAAGAACUGACGUAAGCUGGGUAUAACAACGCAAACUAUUGAUCUGUUUGGCGUGUGCAUGAACAGUGGGCCUUACGCAUGUUCAUUGGUGUGGAGCAAGGGUGGCUUGAAUUAUUGUUUCUCUUCGGUAUGUUCCUAAAAUAUAAUGUCUGGGUACGCGCUUAGAUUAAAUGAAAUGAAAAUGUUUUAUUUAUUUCGAUCAUGUUUUUGCAGCCAGCGAGUUCCGGACUUUCGCGUAAGUAGAGGACCUUUUUUUUUUUUUAUCAACUCGUUGCUGGCAUAACUCUCGUGCACUUUACGACAGUUUCUUUUUUUUUAAAUUUUUUUUAUCGUUCACUGCCAGUAAACUAGGAGAAGCGAUCCCAAAGAAAAAUAAGUACGGAUACCUUUGUCAAACAAGGUGGAUCUCUUCGUCACCUUUUGUCACGCAUUAUAAUCAGUUAAUGGUAACACUCUCAUUUCAUUUUCUAGCCAUGAUAGCCAGCAUCGGAGAAACUCGUCUGGAAACAAUGCUAUGUGUAAGUCAGAUCAGGAUGACUUAAAAAGCACUUAGAAUGCUAACUCGCGCGCACGAAAAUUUCGUGCUAACUUUGCUUUAAAACUACUGCACUUAAGAAUGUCUGUUAAAUGACAGCAUCAUGAAAGACAUUAAGUGCGUCUUCUGGCUAAUGCUAAAGCUAAAGAUAAGCCGUUGGUAAUGCGCUGAAAAAUUAUUAGACAAAGUCUCUUUAGGUCGUCUGGAAACGACACAAUCUCUCUGUGCGGGAGGGUCGCCAUGAUUGUUUCGUUCGUGGCACAUUUUUAUUUUUCAGACUGAAUAAAAUUCUCCAGCCUUUAAGAUAGGCUUCCUUCUCAAUUAUAGCCUUCACGUGACUUUAAUGUGUAUAGCAAAUUUAUAGGCUGAUAAUUUUUUUUGGAAUUGUUUAUAUAUAAAGUGUCCCAGCUGACGUUAUCCAACAUAUUUGUUUCAUUUUCCUGUCUUUUUCUUAAGCAACACAAACGUUCUGUUGCUCUCGGAUGAGGACAUAUUGCCGAACCACGUAUAGCAGUCAUAAUUUUAUACUGUAGGGGUUAUUGUUUUUUUCUUUUUCCGUAUGCUUAAGCUUGGAUAACGUUGGCUAUAAUUCCCCAAUCUGUGUAUGACUGAAUGAAGUCAAUAAUUUACAGCAGCUUUUGCCGCCUUCUGUUUUUAGCCUAGUUUCUAAAGCUUCUACGUGCCGAGCGUGUUCAGCGCUAAGAUGUUUCUUUUUAGCUUUUUUGCGCCUUUGUGAACCUAAUAUUCUGCUUAGUGGCUACACAAACGAACGUACAUUUCGUAUUAAUUUCGACAUAAAAAUGCAACAACUCUGAAUGACAGUUCCUCGAAGCCAUUCUAUACGAGCGCAUGUGAUGUCCGUUCACCUCCGAUGCAGCACCUAGUCAGGGCUCAAAACUUUACUCCGAUGAAAUCGUAAUGUGUGUGUUUUUCUUUCACUUAGUUAUGUUUUUCAUGAGUGAGAUCACUCGUUCACUUGUUUGAAAUGUAUAUAAGCGAAUACUAUGUACUCCAAUUCUACGUCCAUUGCCGUAGCAAAUCGGUGACGUUCAAUAUGAAUGAAACCUUUGUGCGAGGCCGCGUUUCUAGGUAUGGUGUGCUAGUCAACCUGUGCUUCUCAUUGUUGUUCGCCCUCGCACGAUCGUGCGUUUUUCCGGGCACGACCAUCGGCUCUUAUGUAAGUGUGUUGUGUAGCUCCUAAUUUCUCAUCUCUUCGUGAAGCUCAUAUCGACAAAUAAAGUUCACCCGUGUUUGUGUCACA